CCUACGGGGGGCAGCAGUGGGGAAUAUUGGACAAUGGGGGGAACCCUGAUCCAGCCAUGCCGCGUGUGUGAAGAAGGCCCUCGGGUUGUAAAGCACUUUCAGUGAGGAAGAACGCCUGGUGGUUAAUACCCAUCAGGAAAGACAUCACUCACAGAAGAAGCACCGGCUAACUCCGUGCCAGCAGCCGCGGUAAUACGGAGGGUGCGAGCGUUGAUCGGAAUUACUGGGCGUAAAGCGCGCGUAGGUGGCUUGAUAAGCCGGUUGUGGAAGCCCCGGGCUCAACCUGGGAACGGCAUCCGGAACUGUCAAGCUAGAGUGCAGGAGAGGAAGGUAGAAUUCCCGGUGUAGCGGUGAAAUGCGUAGAGAUCGGGAGGAAUACCAGUGGCGAAGGCGGCCUUCUGGACUGACACUGACACUGAGGUGCGAAAGCGUGGGUAGCAAACAGGAUUAGAUACCCUUGUAGUC
Molecule: ribosomal RNA, 465 nt
Filed under: Vreelandella stevensii
Lineage: Bacteria; Pseudomonadati; Pseudomonadota; Gammaproteobacteria; Oceanospirillales; Halomonadaceae
Description: partial 16S ribosomal RNA
Rfam family: Bacterial small subunit ribosomal RNA
Source: RNAcentral